GAUGCCUCGAAGAUCAGUAUCAUUUAAAGGUAGAGGACAUAGUCAUCAGCUCUCUAUGAAUGAAAUAGAUGAUGAUGUCAAUAAAAAAAGACCUUCACCGCAUAACACAACUGCAGAUUCUACUUCUCUAUCAGAUGGUUCAAUAAAUUCAUAGAUUAGUUUUAAAUUUUAUGAACAUUGUUAAGUAUUAUGGAUUUAUUUUAAAUUUUAUGACUGUUGUUAAGUAUUAUGAAUUUAUUUUAAAUUUUAUGAACAUUGUUAAAUAUUAUGGA
This 272-nucleotide long non-coding RNA is filed under the name Manihot esculenta (cassava). RNAcentral's name for it is "long non-coding RNA (MESC_LNC012633)". Lineage: Eukaryota; Viridiplantae; Streptophyta; Magnoliopsida; Malpighiales; Euphorbiaceae. The record is from RNAcentral.